AGCGAUUUGUCAAGGCCACAAACCGCCUGGCUGAUUAUUAUGUUUGGCCAUGCGAGCUGGACACAAACGAUUAAAAUUACAAUUUGUAUACGAACUGAAGUGAGAGUUCGGCAAUAAAGUUAUACAAGUUGUAAGGCUUAAAUUAUUUAUGUA
Molecule: long non-coding RNA, 153 nt
Organism: Drosophila novamexicana
Lineage: Eukaryota; Metazoa; Arthropoda; Insecta; Diptera; Drosophilidae
Exons: 2
Source: RefSeq, a predicted model, not a curated record